AGCAGCCGCGGUAAUUCCAGCUCCAAUAGCGUAUAUUAAAGUUGUUGCAGUUAAAAAGCUCGUAGUUGAAUUUCGGGGUCAGCAGGUCGGUCGUGCCACUGGUAUGCACUGGCCUUGCUGAUUCCUCCCUCUUGAUGAGCCGUAAUGCCAUUAAUUUGGUGUUGCGGGGAAUCAGGACUGUUACUUUGAAAAAUUAGAGUGUUUAAAGCAGGCAAGCGCUUGAAUACAUUAGCAUGGAAUAAUGAAAUAGGACGUUCGAUCCUAUUUUGUUGGUUUCUAGGAUUGACGUAAUGAUUAAUAGGGAUAGUGGGGCAUUAGUAUUCAAUUGUCAGAGGUGAAAUUCUUGGAUUUAUUGAAGACUAACUACUGCGAA
RNAcentral lists this ribosomal RNA (373 nucleotides) under uncultured Glomeromycotina. Its description in RNAcentral is "SSU rRNA". It matches the Rfam family "Eukaryotic small subunit ribosomal RNA", at positions 569 to 949 of the family's 1831-position model. Lineage: Eukaryota; Fungi; Glomeromycota. The record is from RNAcentral.